AGAAGAUAAGGAAAACCCAUUUGAUUUGAAACCAAAGGUAGGACGUUCGACCCGUCCAUCUUCUUCC
Molecule: transfer RNA, 67 nt
Filed under: Sinosolenaia oleivora
Lineage: Eukaryota; Metazoa; Mollusca; Bivalvia; Unionida; Unionidae
Description: tRNA-Ser
Source: RNAcentral